Molecule: transfer RNA, 66 nt
Filed under: Anguilla dieffenbachii (New Zealand longfin eel)
Lineage: Eukaryota; Metazoa; Chordata; Actinopteri; Anguilliformes; Anguillidae
Description: tRNA-Cys
Rfam family: tRNA
About the family: Transfer RNA (tRNA) molecules are approximately 80 nucleotides in length. Their secondary structure includes four short double-helical elements and three loops (D, anti-codon, and T loops). Further hydrogen bonds mediate the characteristic L-shaped molecular structure. tRNAs have two regions of fundamental functional importance: the anti-codon, which is responsible for specific mRNA codon recognition, and the 3' end, to which the tRNAs corresponding amino acid is attached (by aminoacyl-tRNA synthetases). tRNAs cope with the degeneracy of the genetic code in two manners: having more than one tRNA (with a specific anti-codon) for a particular amino acid; and 'wobble' base-pairing, i.e. permitting non-standard base-pairing at the 3rd anti-codon position.
Source: RNAcentral
AGCUUUGUGGUGUACAACACAUUAGAUUGCAAAUCUAAAGAUGCAGGCUCGCGCCUGCCGGAGCUU